This 238-nucleotide long non-coding RNA is filed under the name Medicago truncatula (barrel medic). RNAcentral describes it as "long non-coding RNA (MTRU_LNC006861)". Lineage: Eukaryota; Viridiplantae; Streptophyta; Magnoliopsida; Fabales; Fabaceae. The record is from RNAcentral.
GCAUUAGAAACAGAACAACAAUAUAAAAACAUUUAUUCAAAAAAAAAAUAAAAAAUAAAAGACAAGAGAAAGAAAUAAGAACAUUAGGUAACUUCCUUGCUCCCUGUGGAACCCUCCACUGUUAGAAAUUUACCGGCGACACACCUCCUAUGGAAUUGUCACGAAUUCUUAAACACAGAGGAAAAUUCAUUCACAAUACAAAAUAAAAUUGCUUCGUGAAUGAACUUCCUCUAUGUUU